Molecule: transfer RNA, 72 nt
Filed under: Bos taurus (domestic cattle)
Lineage: Eukaryota; Metazoa; Chordata; Mammalia; Artiodactyla; Bovidae
Also listed under: 4 other names
Rfam family: tRNA
About the family: Transfer RNA (tRNA) molecules are approximately 80 nucleotides in length. Their secondary structure includes four short double-helical elements and three loops (D, anti-codon, and T loops).
Source: Rfam by way of RNAcentral
UCCCUGAUGGUCUAGGGGUUAAGACUUGCACUCCCAAUUCAAGAGGUACAGGUUCGAUUCCUGGUCAGGGAA